CCUACGGGGGGCAGCAGUGGGGAAUCUUGCACAAUGGGCGAAAGCCUGAUGCAGCGACGCCGCGUGGGGGACGAAUGCCUUCGGGUUGUAAACCCCUUUCGGCAGGGAAGCGGUACCUGCAGAAGAAGUCCCGGCUAACUACGUGCCAGCAGCCGCGGUAAGACGUAGGGGACGAGCGUUGUCCGGAUUCAUUGGGCGUAAAGAGCGCGUAGGCGGUUUGGUAAGUCGGAUGUGAAAACCAGAGGCUCAACCUCUGGCCUGCAUCCGAUACUGCCCGACUAGAGGUAGGUAGGGGAGAUCGGAAUUCCUGGUGUAGCGGUGAAAUGCGCAGAUAUCAGGAGGAACACCGGUGGCGAAGGCGGAUCUCUGGGCCUUCCUGACGCUGAGGCGCGAAAGCUAGGGGAGCAAACAGGAUUAGAUACCCUUGUAGUC
Molecule: ribosomal RNA, 432 nt
Filed under: uncultured bacterium
Lineage: Bacteria
Description: partial 16S ribosomal RNA
Rfam family: Bacterial small subunit ribosomal RNA
Source: RNAcentral